AUUGAACGCUGGCGGCAGGCCUAACACAUGCAAGUCGAACGGUAACAGGAAGAAGCUUGCUUCUUUGCUGACGAGAGGCGGACGGGUGAGUAAUGUCUGGGAAACUGCCUGAUGGAGGGGGAUAACUACUGGAAACGGUAGUUAAUACCGCAUAACGUCGCAAGACCAAAGAGGGGGACCUUCGGGCCUCUUGCCAUCGGAUGUGCCCAGAUGGGAUUAGCUAGUAGGUGGGGUAACGGCUCACCUAGGCGACGAUCCCUAGCUGGUCUGAGAGGAUGACCAGCCACACUGGAACUGAGACACGGUCCAGACUCCUACGGGAGGCAGCAGUGGGGAAUAUUGCACAAUGGGCGCAAGCCUGAUGCAGCCAUGCCGCGUGUAUGAAGAAGGCCUUCGGGUUGUAAAGUACUUUCAGCGGGGAGGAAGGGAGUAAAGUUAAUACCUUUGCUCAUUGACGUUACCCGCAGAAGAAGCACCGGCUAACUCCGUG
RNAcentral lists this ribosomal RNA (490 nucleotides) under uncultured bacterium. RNAcentral's name for it is "partial 16S ribosomal RNA". It matches the Rfam family "Bacterial small subunit ribosomal RNA", at positions 30 to 507 of the family's 1533-position model. The record is from RNAcentral.